AGCUCAGCUGGUAGAGCACUACGCUCACAUCGUAGGGGUCGCUGGUUCGAGUCCAGCA
This 58-nucleotide transfer RNA is filed under the name Gemmatimonadota bacterium. RNAcentral's name for it is "Gemmatimonadetes bacterium (activated sludge metagenome) tRNA-Val". It matches the Rfam family "tRNA", at positions 9 to 63 of the family's 71-position model. From Rfam's summary of the family: Transfer RNA (tRNA) molecules are approximately 80 nucleotides in length. Their secondary structure includes four short double-helical elements and three loops (D, anti-codon, and T loops). Lineage: Bacteria; Pseudomonadati; Gemmatimonadota. The record is from RNAcentral.